GGGAGCAUAGCUCAGUUGGUUUAGAGCAUCUGCCUUACAAGCAGAGGGUCGGGGGUUCGACUCCCUCUGCUCCCACUA
This 78-nucleotide transfer RNA is filed under the name Bacteroidales bacterium. RNAcentral describes it as "tRNA-Val". It matches the Rfam family "tRNA". Rfam says of the family: Transfer RNA (tRNA) molecules are approximately 80 nucleotides in length. Their secondary structure includes four short double-helical elements and three loops (D, anti-codon, and T loops). The record is from RNAcentral. Lineage: Bacteria; Pseudomonadati; Bacteroidota; Bacteroidia; Bacteroidales.